CUACGGGAGGCUCCAGUGGGGAAUAUUGCACAAUGGGGGGAACCCUGAUGCAGCAACGCCGCGUGGAGGAUGACGCAUUUCGGUGUGUAAACCCCUUUUAUAUGUCAAGAAAAUGACGGUAGCAUAUGAAUAAGCACCGGCUAACUCCGUGCCAGCAGCCGCGGUAAUACGGAGGGUGCAAGCGUUACUCGGAAUCACUGGGCGUAAAGGACGCGUAGGCGGGUUGGAAAGUCAGGUGUGAAAUCCUACAGCUUAACUGUAGAACUGCACUUGAAACUUCUAAUCUAGAGUAUGGGAGGGGGAGAUGGAAUUAGUGGUGUAGGGGUAAAAUCCGUAGAUAUCACUAGGAAUACCUAAAGCGAAGGCGAUCUCCUGGAACAUUACUGACGCUAAGGCGUGAAAGCGUGGGGAGCAAACAGGAUUAGAUACCCCAGUAGUC
This 439-nucleotide ribosomal RNA is filed under the name uncultured bacterium. RNAcentral's name for it is "partial 16S ribosomal RNA". It matches the Rfam family "Bacterial small subunit ribosomal RNA", at positions 339 to 795 of the family's 1533-position model. The record is from RNAcentral.